UUCUAAUGGGUCCCAGUUCUAAUUGGUCCCAGUUCUAAUAGGUCCCAGUUCUAUAGGUUCCCUGUUCUAAUGGGUCCCAGUUUUAAUAGGUCCCAGUCCUAAUAGGUGACACAUAAUCCAACCAUUACAAAUUGAAGUUGUUAAGGGCUUGAAACCCAUUAGGAGAGCCCCAGUUCCAAUGGUUGGGUUAGGUUAGGUUGGGGCCUGUUCGUUACCUAGACCUGUUUGGUUAGUCACCACCCGUCUUGGGGCAAUCAUCGAAAAGACUUACGUACGACCUGGGGGUAAAAAAAAAACUACUUCCUUCCUUCUAUUGUAUUUUCCUUGGCAUACCCCAUACCAAGAUGCCCCAGGUUUUCAGGUCCUGGUAAAUAAGGCAGGCUCGAAAUACAGCAGCGACCAAUAGACCGGAGUGUAUACGUUGAGUUAGUUUUAAAAUUUGUGUUGGGUCAAUUUUUUUUUUUUUUUUUA
Long non-coding RNA from Homarus americanus (American lobster), 471 nucleotides. RefSeq lists it as uncharacterized. The record is from RefSeq and is a predicted model, not a curated record. NCBI's taxonomy places the organism in Eukaryota, Metazoa, Arthropoda, Malacostraca, Decapoda, Nephropidae. The transcript is spliced from 3 exons.